AACUCAGGUAAAUGGACCGUUCUUUAAUUUGCCCGGGGAACGACUCUUCUUUUACUUGUCUAUUCCAUAGCAUGCCGGUGCACUGACCACUUCAUGUCCAUUUAUUUAUUAGGUUCUGCGAUCUCUUGUGUUGCUGCAUCCUGAUCUUCUGCUUUGUUGCAUCUCUGUUCUGCCAUCGAGAGGACGUGUCUGUACUUGCUGGGGUAGAAUUCAAAUUGUGACGGAUGGUUGUGCUUAGAUUUGGUCGCUGCUGGUCGGUUCUUGAGUUCAGCGCAUGAAAACCUGCAACUACUAUCAAGCGAACCACAGGAGGGAGCAGCAGGCAUAGAAGAAAUCCCAAUCCAAUUUUGCUCAGCUGUAGCAUCUUCCACUGACAAUAAGUCUGCACAGCAGCCUGGUGAGGCUGAUGUUCUUGCUCAGUAUAAGCCAACAAUGGAGAAACUGACCAAGCUAUCUUUCAUGAUCAGUUACACACCAAGCCUAUAUUUUUGCUGCUUCUACAUGUUGCUAUGAUGGUCAUUCAGCCCAUUUUCUCGAACCUGCACUACAACGAGAAAUUUGGGUUGCUUCUUUGUGGCUUCCAAACUUGAAAUGUUUGUUUGGAAGUUAGUUUAGAUUUUUGUUGUGGAUUCACAGCUUCUCACAUGUACCAUCCUCUUAGACCUUUAGAUUUCCAAAGAAACUAAAUCAAGAUAUGGUGGUAUGGUCUCAAUAGUACAACUUAAAGCCUUCCAUGCUUUAUAUUUUCUCUGAAAUUUGCUCUCCAAGAAUCAUGUAUCUAUGUUAGAUCCGGUGAGAAAAGGCGGCUUCCAAGCAGAGGAUGUGGGAGUGUUGACCACAAUUGGUUUUCGACUUGGGUGUCUAA
Molecule: long non-coding RNA, 865 nt
Organism: Triticum aestivum (bread wheat)
Lineage: Eukaryota; Viridiplantae; Streptophyta; Magnoliopsida; Poales; Poaceae
Exons: 4
Source: RefSeq, a predicted model, not a curated record